RNAcentral lists this ribosomal RNA (253 nucleotides) under uncultured bacterium. RNAcentral's name for it is "partial 16S ribosomal RNA". It matches the Rfam family "Bacterial small subunit ribosomal RNA", at positions 524 to 776 of the family's 1533-position model. The record is from RNAcentral.
UACGUAGGCAGCAAGCGUUGUCCGGAUUUACUGGGCGUAAAGGGCGUGCAGGCGGUCUGUUAAGUUCAGGGUGAAAGCUCCCGGCUCAACUGGGAGAGGUCCUUGGAUACUGGCAGACUUGAGGAGGGUAGAGGAGAGUGGAAUUCCCGGUGUAGUGGUGAUAUGCGUAGAUAUCGGGAGGAACACCAGUGGCGAAGGCGGCUCUCUGGGCCCUACCUGACGCUGAGACGCGAAAGCGUGGGGAGCGAACCGG